UACGUAGGGGGCAAGCGUUGUCCGGAUUCAUUGGGCGUAAAGAGCGUGUAGGCGGCCAGGUAGGUCGGUUGUGAAAACUGGAGGCUCAACCUUCAGAGGUCGACCGAAACCAUCUGGCUAGAGUCCGGGAGAGGAGAGUGGAAUUCCUGGUGUAGCGGUGAAAUGCGCAGAUAUCAGGAGGAACACCGGUGGCGAAGGCGGUGGUCUGGGCCGGUACUGACGCUGAGGAGCGAAAGCGUGGGGAGCGAACAGG
Molecule: ribosomal RNA, 253 nt
Filed under: uncultured bacterium
Lineage: Bacteria
Description: partial 16S ribosomal RNA
Rfam family: Bacterial small subunit ribosomal RNA
Source: RNAcentral